RNA transcript from Pseudoliparis swirei, 3536 nucleotides. It is a transcript of the gene named heterogeneous nuclear ribonucleoprotein Q-like, with no coding region annotated. The record is from RefSeq and is a predicted model, not a curated record. The transcript has 12 exons. NCBI's taxonomy places the organism in Eukaryota, Metazoa, Chordata, Actinopteri, Perciformes, Liparidae.
UACGUCGCCGCCAUUUUGUUUCCCCGGCAGUAAGGAAACCCACCCUGAAAAGCACCGGGCGCGGGUCUUCCCUUCUAUCCGGAGCUCCUUCAACGCGGUGGAUCGGCAUCGUGCACCCAGCGUUAGCGUCGCAUGAUGUCUGCACACAUGGCCACGGAACACGUGAACGGGACCGGACCGGAGGAACCCAUCGACCCUCCGGAGGCGACCCGCUCCGAGCACUACCCGGCGCUGCUGGAGGCCGGCAUCCCCCAGAACGUGGCGGAGAAGCUGGACGAGCUCUACGUAGCAGGCCUCGUGGCUCACAGCGACCUCGACGAGCGAGCUCUGGAAGCGCUGAAGGAGUUCAAUGAGGACGGAGCCCUGCAGGUGCUGGUCCAGUUCAAAGAGAGCGACCUGUCGCACGUGCAGAACAAAAGUGCGUUCCUGUGUGGCGUGAUGAAGACGUACCGGCAGAGGGAGAAGCAAGGCACCAAAGUGUCCGAUUCCACGAAAGGACCGGACGAGGCCAAGAUCAAGGAGCUCCUGGACAGAACCGACUACACGCUAGACGUCACGACGGGCCAGCGCAAGUACGGCGGCCCCCCGCCGGAGGAGGUGUACUCGGGGGCUCAGCCCAACGUGGGGACGGAGAUAUUUAUCGGGAAGAUUCCCCGCGACCUGUUUGAAGACGAACUGGUCCCCCUCUUCGAGAAGGCCGGGCCCAUCUGGGACCUGAGGCUGAUGAUGGACCCGCUGAGCGGCCUGAACCGCGGCUACGCCUUCGUCACCUUCUGCACCAAAGAAGCCGCCCAGGAGGCCGUGAAGCUGUGCAAUAAUCACGAGAUUCGGCCCAACAAGCACAUCGGGGUGUGUAUCUCUGUCGCCAACAACCGGCUGUUCGUCGGCUCGAUUCCCAAAAGCAAAACAAAGGAGCAGAUUGUUGAGGAGUUUGCUAAAGUCACAGAGGGCCUCAGCGACGUCAUCCUGUACCACCAGCCCGACGACAAGAAGAAGAACCGGGGCUUUUGCUUCCUGGAGUACGAGGACCACAAGACGGCCGCGCAGGCCCGCCGCCGGCUGAUGAGCGGCAAGGUGAAGGUGUGGGGCAACUUGGUGACGGUGGAGUGGGCCGACCCCAUCGAGGACCCCGACCCCGAGGUCAUGGCCAAGGUGAAGGUUUUAUUUGUGAGGAAUCUGGCCAACGGCGUGACGGAGGAGCUCCUGGAGACGUCCUUCAGCGAGUUUGGGACACUGGAGCGCGUGAAGAAGCUCAAAGACUACGCCUUCAUUCACUUUGAGGAGCGGGAUGGAGCCGUGAAGGCGCUGGACGAGAUGAACGGGAAGGAGCUGGACGGAGAGCCCAUCGAGAUCGUCUUUGCCAAGCCGCCCGAUCAGAAACGGAAGGAACGCAAAGCCCAGAGGCAAGCGGCCAAAACCGUCAUGUACGACGACUAUUACUACUACUCCCCUCCCUCCCACAUGCCGCCUCCAGGCAGAGGCCGGGGCCGAGGCGGCAACCGGGGCGGCUACGCCUCUUACCCCCCCGACUACUACGGCGGCUACGAGGACUACUACGACUACUACGGCUACGAUUACCACAACUACCGCGGCGGCUACGACGACCCCUACUACGGCUACGAUGACUUCCAGGCCCUGAGCCGGGGGCGCGGCGGCCGGGGCUCCCGGGGCGCAUCCUCUCCGGCGGCCAGAGGACGCGGAGGGGCGCCCAGAGGGAGGGCCGGCUUCUCCCAGCGGGGCGGGCCCGGACCGGGGCGCGGCGGGCGCGGCGCCAGAGGAGGCCUGCCGCCCAGAGGGCGAGGAGGGCAGGACAAAGGGUUCGAGGCCGGUCCUGACGUGGCGCUAUGAGGACAGUCUGGCGUUCGGCGCCACGCGCACAACACGCACUGCCGGCCGCCUAGUGGAUGGAAUGAUGUUAAGUUUCUACAUCGCAGUGAAGGACGAGACGGGCCUGUGGGUCUUUGGAUCCAGGAAGCGGGUUCUUUAGGAGCCUGAACCACUACGGGUCCGAUAACUACCUCCGUUUUUAAAAGGACUCGAGAACUGCAACGCCAACGGAGCGCUUAAUGAGUUUUAGCUGCUCGGUGGAGACGCGGCGGUCAGCUGCUCCUCCUGGAACACGCCUCACACGCGUGUCGGGGUGAAAGAUGUACGGUCGCGGAGCCGGAAGAGGUCCACGCUGUCACAAACUCCCAGUUAAAAAGUUAAAAGCGUCCACGUUACUUUGAAAGGUUGGCAUCGCGUCGUCUCGCCACGAGCCUGCGGUGCAUUGUGGGUGCUUCACCGCGCCGUCGUGUGGCGUUUCCAGUUUAACCGCCGGCCUCUGGCGUGACGCCGCCGUCUCAAACGGUGACGUUUAAAUCCCCACAGUCUUGAAAUAUUAUAAUAAUAAUAUUAGUGAAUAUUCAGUGUUUAAAUUUUUUUUAUUCUACAUCAAUUUAUUUUGUUCCCAAAGAAUAUUCAAGUUUUUUUUUUUCUUGUAAAUUUACUAAAAAAUUCUACGAAAUUCAGAGUUUCUAUCCUCCGAUUAUUACCCGGCUCUGUAUUUUAUAAUAAUUAUAAUUGGUACCUCCAGUGGGCCUGACGCGCUGUUGUAUUAAUACAUGAACUAAGUGGACAUGUAGGUUACGGACGGAUUGUUCUGUUAUUUUUCAGACGUCCUUUUGUCUUCCACGAUGGGAAACUGUCUUUAUUAUUUUGGGAUGAUCGCAAAGUGUCGUCUCACUCUGCACAAACAUCUGUGAGGUCCCUUUUUAAUUUUAAUAUUUUUAACUUGGGCUCAUGUUAGCAGAUUUUUGAAGAAAAUAGACUUCCUGGUCCUGAGGAGUUUUAGUGUUUCUACAUUUCUCAUUACCGCUGUCGACUGACGAUCAUGCCGCUCGUGUUGACUCAUUCUGGGGGAAACUGUUGAUGGACGCUUUGUACUGGAGCCAUGUUUGAGGCUUUAAAGGAGAAAAUCCAUCCUGAUACAUUUCAGCUUGUUUAGGGGAGAAGUCACAGGCUUUUGGUUUGGUGCGUCGUAGUUUUUAGCCAGAGGGCUUCCAGCGAGGUCAUCGCUCUUAGCGAGGGCUCGACUUUGUUUUGUUGUUGGGUUUUUUUAGCAAAUAAAAAUUGGUUCAAAUUCCCUGAAUAUUAAACGAGUCAAUAGAAGUUCUUUUGUAAACUGCCAACAAAUCCCACGGAAAGAGGGAAAAGACAAAACACAAAAACGAGGAGUCUCGUAAUACUCUCUGGCAUUCUGGGAAUUGUAGGAAAUCUUUUUGAAUGCAGACUUGAGUUUGGGUUUCUCCUUUAAAGAUAUUUUCUUUUUUUUCGGGUUUGUGGAAAAAGGCCAGAUUUCUAUUUUUUUCUUUUUUUUCUUUCAUACUAGUAUUGACUCUGUUGGAUCACCAAUUUUAAGGGUCAAUAAUUAUAUAUAUAUAUAUAUAUAUACUUUUUUUGCUAACAAAUGUGUUUGCAUUCUUGCAAAUAAAUUGUUUUAUACUGUAUAGUGAGGUAAGGUAAACCUAUUUUUCUAAUAAAGUUAUUGACUUUGA